Venturia canescens is the source of this 1334-nucleotide long non-coding RNA. RefSeq lists it as uncharacterized. Lineage: Eukaryota; Metazoa; Arthropoda; Insecta; Hymenoptera; Ichneumonidae. The record is from RefSeq and is a predicted model, not a curated record. The transcript is spliced from 3 exons.
UUCGUGGGUUAUCGGACACAAAAAUUCGUGAGGCAUAUCCGCAUCGUCUAUGCUCGUUUCCUCUGUACGGCUCCUGUUCUCACGCUUCAGCCAGAAAAGUUGUCUCUUGAAUGUUUCUGCCAUCUAAAUAGAGAAGAUAUUCGUAUUGGAAGAUAAAAGAAGAAAUCGGCUGUGGUUACCCUGAGAUUCCAUAAUUGAGUCGUCCCGUCGAUACUUGAACUUGCGAGCAUGGUCGAUUGUGGACUGACCUUGACACAGGUCACUCCAUACUUGUGACCCAACAAGGGCAAUUAUUUCGUGCGGAGAAAAAAAGAAGAAAUUUUCUCGAGAAUUUCUUCCAAAUAUUGAUCAUUUUUUAACUUGAUCAAAUUUUCAAUAAUAAGAAAAAUAAGGAAAAAUUUUAAACGUCCGUUCAGUGGCUUUUUAUCAAUUCUCUCUGAAUCGACCGACACUUUGUUCCGCUCCAAAACAAGCAGAAACUUCAAUUUAAAAUUUUUUAUUCAUUUGUACGAAUGAAAAAAAGCAGUCCUCAGGUGCUUAAGUCGAUUUCAUAGCUUGACAUUCAUACGUGCCACUUAACUUUCUACCACCCCUCAGAAUUGCAAAGCCGUAAAAGACAUACGAUGCAAUUAAUUUUUAAUACUUUAUGAGCGUGGUAUUAAGUGCUAGAGACACUGACGUAUUCGCAGACUAUAGAAUCCUGAAUGCUUUUUAUUAGAAAUAGAAACCAUCAAUCAAUUAGCUGUCGCUUGGAAUAUGGUCAAUGUCAGUGGAAUGAAAAAUUUUAUGUCAAAAAUCAUUUAAAUUUUAUCUCCGACUACGACGCAUGAAUUCCUGUGAUCAACGUACACUUUUUUUUCUAUUUAAAAAGAUAAUUGAGAUCAUUAAAAACCAGUAAUACUCACCAGAGUUUUCAAAAAUUCAUUAAUGAACAUUAAAAAAUAAGAAAAAAAUAAUGUUUCAUUCUCUAUCGAGUGGAUUAUCAUUACUUUGAAUAAUCUUCAAACUCUCGUUUUCCAAAAUUCAACAAAAUUUCAAGCUAUAACCAUUAAAAUAUGAACAAUAACAGAGAGCGAAAAACCCUAAAAAAAGCAUGAAAGAAAACUUACCCAGAGGCGGUGACGAGGACGCAAUCACCAGCGAAGUCAACGCUGUUUACAUCGCUGGUAUGAAUAGAGAGUGUUUGCAGCGGUUGAACAUUUUCCAUCAUCGUUGAGCCUUUUUUCAAAGGCACUUGCACAAUUUGACUAAAUUUAAAAAAAAAUGUAAUUUGUAUUUUUUCAGUAUUGUUAUUGACAGGAUUAAAAAAAAAUUUUAAUAAAGAAUUGAAGAUA